AUGCACUGUCAUGGGUGCC
Molecule: ribosomal RNA, 19 nt
Filed under: Ficus racemosa (cluster fig)
Lineage: Eukaryota; Viridiplantae; Streptophyta; Magnoliopsida; Rosales; Moraceae
Description: partial 28S ribosomal RNA
Source: RNAcentral